RNAcentral lists this transfer RNA (85 nucleotides) under Anaplasma phagocytophilum. Its description in RNAcentral is "tRNA-Ser". It matches the Rfam family "tRNA". Rfam says of the family: Transfer RNA (tRNA) molecules are approximately 80 nucleotides in length. Their secondary structure includes four short double-helical elements and three loops (D, anti-codon, and T loops). Lineage: Bacteria; Pseudomonadati; Pseudomonadota; Alphaproteobacteria; Rickettsiales; Anaplasmataceae. RNAcentral also lists the same sequence under 1 other name. The record is from RNAcentral.
GGAGAGAUGGCUGAGUGGUCGAAAGCGCACGCCUGGAAAGUGUGUACACAGCGAUGUGUCGGGGGUUCGAAUCCCCCUCUUUCCG